This 65-nucleotide transfer RNA is filed under the name Thomomydoecus minor. RNAcentral's name for it is "tRNA-Ile". Lineage: Eukaryota; Metazoa; Arthropoda; Insecta; Psocodea; Trichodectidae. The record is from RNAcentral.
CAUAUUGUGCCUGAGGAAAAAGGGUUAUUUUGAUGUAAUAAGAAUGCCUGGGAAGGCCAUUAUGU